AAAAGAACUUGAAGAGAGAGUUCAAGAGGACGUGAAACCACAAGGGGCGAAACGGAGAGAGUUGAUAAAGCUGGCGGUGAUCAGUGUCGUCGAGUGCUCCGCGCUGCGUUAUUCGAUAGUUUGGUCGUUUGCGCGGUGUUUGGGUGGGUGCUUGGCGGUGCGCUUUCGCUGUUAGUAUACGCUGAGACGUUCGGUGUGUCCUUCUGAUCCGCGUUGCGUGGUCCACUUUAUUGUGGUAACCUGUGGCGUGGGGAGGUUGAUGUACGCGCUGAUCGGCAAAAAUGCGUUCAUGUGCGGAGUUUGCGAGCGCUCGUAGGCUGCAGCGUGAGUGGCUUGCCAUUUGCGUUGUGUGUUUGCUUGUGUUUGUGAGCGCUGCUAGAGCGUGUUCUCGGUGGGAAAGUCGACCACCUCUCCGACCCGUCUUGAAACACGGACCAAGAAGUUUAGCAAUUGCGCGAGUCAAUGGGUUGCAACACCUAAUGGCGAAAUGAAAGUAAAGGUCGACUUGUCGGCUGACAUGUGAUCCGUGGCUUCGGCUGCGGCGCAACAUGGCCCCAUGCUAAUUGCUUGCAAUGGUGUGGAGGUAGAGCGUAAUUGCUGAGACCCGAAAGAUGGUGAACUAUGCCUGAGCAGGAUGAAGCCAGAGGAAACUCUGGUGGAAGUCCGAAGCGGUUCUGACGUGCAAAUCG
RNAcentral lists this ribosomal RNA (689 nucleotides) under Rhabditidoides sp. EI5. Its description in RNAcentral is "partial 28S ribosomal RNA". It matches the Rfam family "Eukaryotic large subunit ribosomal RNA", at positions 367 to 900 of the family's 3401-position model. Lineage: Eukaryota; Metazoa; Nematoda; Chromadorea; Rhabditida; Diplogasteridae. The record is from RNAcentral.